Salmo salar (Atlantic salmon) is the source of this 68-nucleotide non-coding RNA. The record is from Rfam. NCBI's taxonomy places the organism in Eukaryota, Metazoa, Chordata, Actinopteri, Salmoniformes, Salmonidae.
CCCUGUAGCUCAGUUGGUAGAGCAUGGUGUUUGCAACGCCAGGGUUGUGGGUUCGAUUCCCACAGGGG